GGGUGGAAACUGUCAUUUUAAUUGUGGCUUGAAAUCGUUAAUCAUCGGCUUCCAUCUAUCAAGAGGAGCAAUACUGGAAUACUGUCGUAAACAAUCACAAGAAACCCCAGGCAUUCUUGGUGGCUUUUACUUCAGAGAUGCUGGCAUUUAGGAGGGGCCAGAUCUGAGAGUCAUCUGAAGGCCAAUACUAU
RNAcentral lists this long non-coding RNA (191 nucleotides) under Chinchilla lanigera (long-tailed chinchilla). RNAcentral's name for it is "lncRNA (ENSCLAG00000022599.1)". The record is from RNAcentral. Lineage: Eukaryota; Metazoa; Chordata; Mammalia; Rodentia; Chinchillidae.